RNAcentral lists this ribosomal RNA (403 nucleotides) under uncultured bacterium. Its description in RNAcentral is "bacterial SSU rRNA". It matches the Rfam family "Bacterial small subunit ribosomal RNA", at positions 362 to 758 of the family's 1533-position model. The record is from RNAcentral.
UUUUGCACAAUGGGGGAAAGCCUGAUCCAGCAAUGCCGCGUGUGGGAAGAAGGCCUUCGGGUUGUAAACCACUUUUGUACGGAACGAAACGGUUUGAUUUAAUACAUUAGGUUAAUGACGGUACUGUAAGAAUAAGCACCGGCUAACUACGUGCCAGCAGCCGCGGUAAUACGUAGGGUGCGAGCGUUAAUCGGAAUUACUGGGCGUAAAGCGUGCGCAGGCGGUUAUAUAAGACAGAUGUGAAAUCCCCGGGCUCAACCUGGGAACCGCAUUUGUGACUGUAUAGCUAGAGCACGGUAGAGGGGGGUGGAAUUCCGGGUGUAGCGGUGAAAUGCGUAGAUAUGCGGAGGAACACCGAGGCGAAGGCAGUCCCCUGGACCUGUACUGACGCUCAUGCACGAAG